CCCUUCGUGGUGUAGUGGUCAGAACGCUAGGCGCGUAUUCCGUAUUCCAGAGGUCCGUGGUUCGAGUCCCGGCGAAGGCG
This 80-nucleotide transfer RNA is filed under the name Stegodyphus mimosarum. It matches the Rfam family "tRNA". From Rfam's summary of the family: Transfer RNA (tRNA) molecules are approximately 80 nucleotides in length. Their secondary structure includes four short double-helical elements and three loops (D, anti-codon, and T loops). Lineage: Eukaryota; Metazoa; Arthropoda; Arachnida; Araneae; Eresidae. The record is from Rfam by way of RNAcentral.